Molecule: ribosomal RNA, 401 nt
Filed under: uncultured bacterium
Lineage: Bacteria
Description: bacterial SSU rRNA
Rfam family: Bacterial small subunit ribosomal RNA
Source: RNAcentral
UGGGGAAUAUUGCACAAUGGGCGAAAGCCUGAUGCAGCAACGCCGCGUGAGCGAAGAAGGCCUUCGGGUCGUAAAGCUCUGUCCUCAAGGAAGAUAAUGACGGUACUUGAGGAGGAAGCCCCGGCUAACUACGUGCCAGCAGCCGCGGUAAUACGUAGGGGGCAAGCGUUAUCCGGAUUUACUGGGCGUAAAGGGUGCGUAGGCGGUCUUACAAGUCAGGAGUGAAAGGCUACGGCUCAACUGUAGUAAGCUCUUGAAACUGUUAGACUUGAGUGCAGGAGAGGAGAGUGGAAUUCCUAGUGUAGCGGUGAAAUGCGUAGAUAUUAGGAGGAACACCAGUUGCGAAGGCGGCUCUCUGGACUGUAACUGACGCUGAGGCACGAAAGCGUGGGGAGCAAACA